GGAGGGUGCGAGCGUUGUUCGGAUUUAUUGGGCGUAAAGCGCGUGUAGGUGGCUUUGUAAGUCAGGUGUGAAAGCCCAGGGCUUAACCCUGGAAGUGCAUUUGAUACUGCGAAGCUUGAGUACUGGAGAGGAUAGUAGAAUUCCUGGUGUAGUGGUGAAAUACGUAGAUAUCGGGAGGAAUACCGGUGGCGAAGGCGGCUAUCUGGCCAUGUACUGACACUGAGACACGAAAGCGUGGGGAUCAAACAGGAUUAGAUACCCUGGUAGUCCACGCCGUAAACAAUGGAUAUUUGGUGUUGGAGGUAUUGACCCCUUCAGUGCCGAAGCUAACGCGUUAAAUAUCCCGCCUGGGGAGUACGGUCGCAAGAUUA
RNAcentral lists this ribosomal RNA (371 nucleotides) under uncultured bacterium. RNAcentral describes it as "bacterial SSU rRNA". It matches the Rfam family "Bacterial small subunit ribosomal RNA", at positions 527 to 896 of the family's 1533-position model. The record is from RNAcentral.